RNAcentral lists this ribosomal RNA (506 nucleotides) under uncultured bacterium. RNAcentral's name for it is "partial 16S ribosomal RNA". It matches the Rfam family "Bacterial small subunit ribosomal RNA", at positions 29 to 523 of the family's 1533-position model. The record is from RNAcentral.
AGUGAACGCUGGCGGUAGGCCUAACACAUGCAAGUCGAACGGCAGCACAGGAGAGCUUGCUCUCUGGGUGGCGAGUGGCGGACGGGUGAGGAAUACAUCGGAAUCUACUUUUUCGUGGGGGAUAACGUAGGGAAACUUACGCUAAUACCGCAUACGACCUACGGGUGAAAGCAGGGGAUCUUCGGACCUUGCGCGAUUGAAUGAGCCGAUGUCGGAUUAGCUAGUUGGCGGGGUAAAGGCCCACCAAGGCGACGAUCCGUAGCUGGUCUGAGAGGAUGAUCAGCAACACUGGAACUGAGACACGGUCCAGCCUCCUACGGGAGGCAGCAGUGGGGAAUAUUGGACAAUGGGCGCAAGCCUGAUCCAGCCAUACCGCGUGGGUGAAGAAGGCCUUCGGGUUGUAAAGCCCUUUUGUUGGGAAAGAAAUCCAGCUGGUUAAUACCCGGUUGGGAUGACGGUACCCAAAGAAUAAGCACCGGCUAACUUCGUGCCAGCAGCAGCCGCGG